Molecule: non-coding RNA, 2393 nt
Organism: Macaca mulatta (Rhesus monkey)
Lineage: Eukaryota; Metazoa; Chordata; Mammalia; Primates; Cercopithecidae
Source: RefSeq, a predicted model, not a curated record
GUGAUUCUCCUGCCUCAGCCUCCCAAGUAGCUGGGAUUACAGAUCUUGAGGUCUGCCUUCUGUGGAAGAGAAAUUCCAGAAUCAAUAAACUGAACUAGAGCCCUGGGAUUAUCAACAGCCAGCUGAAAUUUUGAGAGCCACCUUACAGAGAACCUAACAGCAAAGACUGGAGAGAGGCUUCCAGCCAACAGCCAGCAAGGAAUUGAAGCCCUCGGUCCAAUAGCAGCAGUGAGGAACUGAAUCCUGCCAACAGCCUCGUGGAUGCGUUGCUUGCUGCCUGACUCUAACUCCUGCUACUACUGCAAACACCACUGCCAUGAAUAUCUUCAGCAAGACCUCCUUCCAGACCUGCACGAACAGUUGCGUGAAAUGUAUAUGCACAAACGGAUUGCAACGGAAGACCUAGAGACUAGGGAAGAACUUGGAACAAUAAUCUCAGUUUCUUCAUUUCCUAAACUGAGAGUGUUGCUGUUUUUAAAUGAAGGCCGACUGAUUCACGCUGGGCUUCAGACAUGAGAGGUUAGGAGUAGGAGGCAUGCCUCGUUCAAAGAUUCUUGGCAGCACAGAGGCCACUGGAGAGAGGCAUAACCUUGCGUGGCAGCUGCACGGGAAUUGGAUUUGUCUCAGAUGUUUCAGAUGACUAAGGUGAGUGAUCAAGCUGGAUAUUUUUGCAUGACAACCAAAGUGUGAUGAGAAAGAAAGAAGAUUCAGUUGUGUAGAUGGUAAAGUUUUGUGUACCGUUUCAUCUUUUUAGUAUUGGAAUUGGGAUUUUUAGCUCUUGUUCAUAGUGCCAAUGCUGCUUAGUCUUUCUGAGACAUCAGGCAAAUUCUCUUUUUCCAUGUUUCAGAUUUCUCCUCUGUAUAAUAAGGGGCUUAGAUUCUGUGGUUUCUAAAAGAUCCUUCCAGUUCUAGAAAUGUCUGAUCCUACAAUAUAUUACCCCUUAGAAAUGAUUAGUUUAACUAAAAAACAUGUAAAUUUCUUAUCUUCAAAAUAAACACAUGCCUUUUCCACUACCCCCACUCCCCCACUUUGCGACAUGGAGGAGAUUGAGAAGAUGCUGUUUAGUGACAGACCAGAUUCCUUUGGAGACCAGGGAGUUGGGGGAGUACAAAUAUCAUAUUCAGGACAGGAAUUCAGACUUGAAUGCUGCAAGUCUUGCCUCUCAACUCUCCAUGCUCUAUCAAUACUAUUAUUUAUCCACUACUCAGGGUAGGAAAGAGAUCAGGUCAAGUAGCAUAUAAUAUCCUUCUUAUUCUCAUGCAGAUGUCUGAGGCUUCUUUCCCCUUUCAUCCAAUCUGAUUUGUAUGUCUUCUUGGUUAAUACCCCCAGAGUGCUCUAGGCUGCUUUCUGCCUAAAUAUCACAUAAAUCAAAGUGUGUAAUCUUGCAGGGGUGAGGAGAGGUGGAGAGUCAGCCAGGAUCGAGAUGCUAAGGACAGACGGAGCCAUCCCAUUUCCCUGCUUCCCAGACCUUGUUCUUGCCCUCCUGCAAAGCCUUAGGAAGGCCUCAUGGGAGGAGCUUGAACUCAUUCCCACCCACUCCUGAUGGUUCCAGCUACUCAACCUUUUACUAAAUGGCUCUGCACAGCUGUUUCUAGUUACGUGUCUAUUUACUUUGCUGGUGUACGUGUGCUUGUGUACCAUGUGUGCAUCUUAUCCCCUCAGUUUCCCAGCUACCCAAGGCCUCCAGUGAAUCCACAUGAGGUCAUUUAGAAUCCCGAGUGGAAACAAUCACAAAGCAACAUAAUGUUCAAAUUCAGGAAGCAUUUACAAAGGUUGUAUGCAUCUUCUCUGUCAUUCAUAAAGGCAAGGGAAGUUAGAAUUCAGGAAAUAAGAUGCAAAGACUCAUGAAUGUCUUCAGAUUCCAAAAGAGUAAACUUUACUACGGGAGUAAAACUAGGUUCUAAUCCUCUUGAAACAGACACUUUUUCCUUUUUUAAUCACCUAGAUGACAAAUGUAAGACUUAUCCCUGACUUCAUCCAUUCAUUUGUUCAUUCAUUAAUUCAACAAACAUUUAUUGAGUUUCUCCAUGUGCACUGGACUGCUCAAAGCUCUAUAGAAGAUACAGUAAUGUGCUUUGCUGCCUCUGAAUGGAGCAGGGUCCCUCCCAGCCUAUGGGCAUGGCUAAAUUUUAAAAGGAUUCUUCUGCUUGUCUUCAACUUCAAAGGUCAGUCUGAACAUGGAGUGAAAUCACCAGUGUCCCUGGCAGGAAGAGACCUUGUUCCACACCCAACACAUCAUCCUAAUAGUAGGCUUUUGACACAGUCCUAUUAAAUAAUGAAGCAUGUCUCUGUCUAACUUUAUAUAAUCAGUGCUCCAAAAUUCAGAAACUUUGCCUCUCAGAGGUCGAUCAGCAAGCUCAGUGAGUUCCUACAAACCAGCUUGUAAGGAAUUC